CCACACCCACCGACGAACUCACGCACGGCAGGAGCGGGGGACCCAGGUAAGUCGCCGGGCCGGGCAUCGCACCGGAACGGCUCGGGGUGAAGCCGUGUCCACCCGAGGGCACGGCCGGGCACUCUCCCCGCCCGAACCCGACAGCUCACCUCGCAGGCGUAGGAGAGGAACC
This 172-nucleotide small RNA is filed under the name Streptomyces toyocaensis. RNAcentral describes it as "c-di-AMP sequence". It matches the Rfam family "c-di-AMP riboswitch aptamer (ydaO/yuaA leader)". From Rfam's summary of the family: This family represents a conserved RNA structure found upstream of the ydaO and yuaA genes in Bacillus subtilis and related genes in other bacteria. Lineage: Bacteria; Bacillati; Actinomycetota; Actinomycetes; Kitasatosporales; Streptomycetaceae. The record is from RNAcentral.